CCUACGGGCGGCAGCAGUGGGGAAUAUUGGACAAUGGGGGGAACCCUGAUCCAGCCAUGCCGCGUGUGUGAAGAAGGCCCUCGGGGGGUAAAGCACUUUCAGUGAGGAAGAACGCCUGGUGGUUAAUACCCAUCAGGAAAGACAUCACUCAUAGAAGAAGCACCGGCUAACUCCGUGCCAGCAGCCGCGGUAAUACGGAGGGUGCGAGCGUUAAUCGGAAUUACUGGGCGUAAAGCGCGCGUAGGUGGCUUGAUAAGCCGGUUGUGAAAGCCCCGGGCUCAACCUGGGAACGGCAUCCGGAACUGUCAAGCUAGAGUGCAGGAGAGGAAGGUAGAAUUCCCGGUGUAGCGGUGAAAUGCGUAGAGAUCGGGAGGAAUACCAGUGGCGAAGGCGGCCUUCUGGACUGACACUGACACUGAGGUGCGAAAGCGUGGGUAGCAAACAGGAUUAGAUACCCCAGUAGUC
Molecule: ribosomal RNA, 465 nt
Filed under: Vreelandella stevensii
Lineage: Bacteria; Pseudomonadati; Pseudomonadota; Gammaproteobacteria; Oceanospirillales; Halomonadaceae
Description: partial 16S ribosomal RNA
Rfam family: Bacterial small subunit ribosomal RNA
Source: RNAcentral